This 89-nucleotide transfer RNA is filed under the name Planctomycetota bacterium. RNAcentral's name for it is "tRNA-Leu". It matches the Rfam family "tRNA". Rfam says of the family: Transfer RNA (tRNA) molecules are approximately 80 nucleotides in length. Their secondary structure includes four short double-helical elements and three loops (D, anti-codon, and T loops). The record is from RNAcentral. Lineage: Bacteria; Pseudomonadati; Planctomycetota.
GCGGGGAUGGCGGAACCGGCAGACGCAGCGGCCUUAAAAGCCGCGGGGCGGUAGCGCCCGUGAGGGUUCGAAUCCCUCUCCCCGCACCA